GGGCGGUGUGUACAAAGGGCAGGGACGUAAUCAACGCAAGCUGAUGACUUGCGCUUACUAGGAAUUCCUCGUUGAAGAGCAAAAAUUACAAAGCUCUAUCCCCAGCACGACGGAGUUUCACAAGAUUACCAGGACCUCUCGGCCUAGGUUAGACUCGCUGGCUCCGUCAGUGUAGCGCGCGUGCGGCCCAGAACGUCUAAGGGCAUCACAGACCUGUUAUUGCCUCAAACUUCCAUCGACUUGAAAUCGAUAGUCCCUCUAAGAAGUGGAAGAACCAGCAAAUGCUAGCACCACUAUUUAGUAGGUUAAGGUCUCGUUCGUUAUCGCAAUUAAGCAGACAAAUCACUCCACCAACUAAGAACGGCCAUGCACCACCACCCACAAAAUCAAGAAAGAGCUCUCAAUCUGUCAAUCCUUAUUGUGUCUGGACCUGGUGAGUUUCCCCGUGUUGAGUCAAAUUAAGCCGCAGGCUCCACUCCUGGUGGUGCCCUUCCGUCAAUUCCUUUAAGUUUCAGCCUUGCGACCAUACUCCCCCCAGAACCCGAAGACUUUGAUUUCUCGUAAGGUGCCGAGUGGGUCAUUAAAAAAACACCACCCGAUCCCUAGUCGGCAUAGUUUAUGGUUAAGACUACGACGGUAUCUGAUCAUCUUCGAUCCCCUAACUUUCGUUCUUGAUUAAUGAAAACGUCCUUGGCAAAUGCUUUCGCAGUAGUUAGUCUUCAAUAAAUCCAAGAAUUUCACCUCUGACAAUUGAAUACUGAUGCCCCCGACCGUCCCUAUUAAUCAUUACGAUGGUCCUAGAAACCAACAAAAUAGAACCAAACGUCCUAUUCCAUUAUUCCAUGCUAAUAUAUUCGAGCAAUACGCCUGCUUUGAACACUCUAAUUUUUUCAAAGUAAAAGUCCUGGUUCGCCAAGGACCCACAAGGAGCCCAAGGUUAGCCAGAAGGAAAGGCCCGGUUGCAUUCCAGUACGUGGCAAAAAGCCAGACCGGCCAACCAGGCCCAAAGUUCAACUACGAG
This 1021-nucleotide ribosomal RNA is filed under the name uncultured eukaryote. RNAcentral describes it as "partial 18S ribosomal RNA". The record is from RNAcentral.